UCCCGGUUGGCCCGGGCAGUCUCGCAUGAAAAAUACAACAUACGAUAAGGGUUGCGCUCGUUGCGGGACUUAACCCAACAUCUCACGACACGAGCUGACGACGGCCAUGCAGCACCUGUCACCUAGCUUCCGAAGACACUCCCCUGUUUCCAGGGGAUUCUAGGGAUGUCAAGCCUCGGUAAGGUUCUACGCGUAGCGUCAUAUUAAACCACAUCCUCCUCUGCUUGUGCGGGUCCCCGUCAAUUCCUUUGAGUUUUAACCUUGCGGUCGUACUUCCCAGGCGGCAUACUUAUCGCGUUAGCUGCGACGCACAGGGGGUCGAUACCCCAUACGUCUAGUAUGCAUCGUUUACGGCGUGGACUAC
This 364-nucleotide unclassified non-coding RNA is filed under the name uncultured bacterium. RNAcentral's name for it is "contains 16S-23S intergenic spacer region". The record is from RNAcentral.